RNAcentral lists this ribosomal RNA (289 nucleotides) under uncultured bacterium. RNAcentral's name for it is "partial 16S ribosomal RNA". It matches the Rfam family "Bacterial small subunit ribosomal RNA", at positions 55 to 339 of the family's 1533-position model. The record is from RNAcentral.
AUGCAAGUCGAACGGAAAGGCCCUGCUUGCAGGGUACUCGAGUGGCGAACGGGUGAGUAACACGUGGGUGAUCUGCCCCUGCACUUCGGGGAUAAGCCUGGGGAAACUGGGGUCUAAUACCCGGAUAGGAGCCAUUUUUAGUGUGAUGGUUGGAAAGUUUUUCGGUGUAGGAUGAGCUCGCGGCCUAUCAGCUUGUUGGUGGGGUAAUGGCCUACCAAGGCGGCGACGGGUAGCCGGCCCUGAGAGGGUGGGACGGCCACAUUGGGGACUGAGAUACGGCCCAGACUCC